This 373-nucleotide long non-coding RNA is filed under the name Homo sapiens (human). Its description in RNAcentral is "HSALNT0368295". The record is from RNAcentral. Lineage: Eukaryota; Metazoa; Chordata; Mammalia; Primates; Hominidae.
UAAGAGGGAAUGAGAGGAGUAGAAUGGGACACUAAGUGGUUCUCAUCCUAAGCUUGCAGGGCCAAGUGCUGCCGGGUGUUGGAGAAGUAGUUUGGUUCUGAUGUAGAUGGAUAAUACAGGAUCUAGUGGGAGAUGGCACUCCUGGUCAUUUUCUUCUCUGUCCAUGGGAGGUGAGAGGUCAGCUGACAUCCUUCCCAUUCCAGAAGUAGCUACCAAACUCCAAGAGGCAGAGUCCCUGUCCCAGCACAGAAGAUCAUCCUGGGGCAGAGAGAGCCCAUGGGAUAGUGGAGGGGAUACUAGUAAGAUGAGCCCCAGAGACAGAGGAUGGAGGUGAAGUGAAGGAAGCACAGAGACACCACUGCAGGGACCUCGU